Molecule: small nucleolar RNA, 76 nt
Organism: Bubalus bubalis (water buffalo)
Lineage: Eukaryota; Metazoa; Chordata; Mammalia; Artiodactyla; Bovidae
Product: small nucleolar RNA Z155
Exons: 1
Source: RefSeq, a predicted model, not a curated record
CAGUGGUGAGAGGAUAUUAAUUUCACAUAAAUAGAAAUUUAUUUUAUCACAAGAAAGGUAAAUUAUCUGACCACUG